Antechinus flavipes (yellow-footed antechinus) is the source of this 1083-nucleotide long non-coding RNA. RefSeq lists it as uncharacterized. The record is from RefSeq and is a predicted model, not a curated record. NCBI's taxonomy places the organism in Eukaryota, Metazoa, Chordata, Mammalia, Dasyuromorphia, Dasyuridae. The transcript is spliced from 2 exons.
AUUAGAAAGUCAGAGGGACAUUAAAUAUUAGAAUUAGAGAUAAAGGGCAUAUGACAGACAGUAAAAGAGAAAUCAUCGUUUCCCUUCCUCCAACCCACCCGCCCACCUCCCGGAACGCAGUGGGUUAAUCAAUUUGCAAGCUUGUGCCCGUGUCAUUCCUCGGAUUGGAUCUUGGGUGCAACUCUCUUCUGGAGAACUGCUCAGAAGCCCAGGGCUGGAUACGUUCAAGGGCACCAAGAGCCCGGUCCCAAAUUCUUCCAGGCCAGAGGGCUCCCUUAUUAUCUUCUGCUCACCUGCUGCCACUGCCAUCUGCGGAGCUGAGCAUCCGCACAGAGCGGGAGGGGGUGAAAGAAAACACAGGCCCCCAAAGCUGCUGCACUUACCAUAAUGUGAGUCGGGCCUCAAAUUUCCUCGGGAGAGCUCCCCGGAAUCCCUUCCCCAGCCCCAAGGCCGAGUGAGCGAUCCUGCAGUCGCAGCACUACCAGGACCGCAACGGUAGCGGCAGCAGGAGAGGUGGUAAAGGCGCAAUCGAGCUGCAGCGGAGGCGGCGGCGGCGGCGGCGGCGGUAGCGGGGGUAGCAGCGGUGGCAGCCAGAGCCGGGAGCAGAACCCCCCUCGCUCCGCCCUGAUUGCCACCUCCAAGCGGCCAAUGAAGAGUUCGGCCGUGGGGCUGCUUUUUUUUGUCCUCUGCCUCUCGACCAAUCAACUCUAGAGGAGGGAAUUCGGAUGCCCUGAAACGAAGCUGUCUACAAUGUUCCCAGAGUCACCUCUACUGUCUUGGGGUGCCAGGGACUGGGAAGAAGCGGUUGUAACUAUCGCGGAGAGGCCUGGAGUCCGGCUUUGGGGCUAGUUGUUGUUUUCCGGGGAGAAUAUUUUUCGAGAGGCCGGUUGUUAAGGAUAAAUAUGAAGGUCGCUGCCACCCAGUAACCCAACUCUCGUGUUGACUAUGGGUGUGAUUCUAUAUUGUCACCUCCCUUAUUUGAAAGAGCCCUCGUCAAGUUUAUUCUGUAAAAUUUAUUCUGUAGGGUCUUGGUCCAUUCGCUAUAAUGUCAAACCAACCCAAAUAAAUUUGUUUAAAGCGUAA